This 492-nucleotide ribosomal RNA is filed under the name uncultured bacterium. RNAcentral's name for it is "partial 16S ribosomal RNA". It matches the Rfam family "Bacterial small subunit ribosomal RNA", at positions 29 to 507 of the family's 1533-position model. The record is from RNAcentral.
AGUGAACGCUGGCGGUAGGCCUAACACAUGCAAGUCGAACGGCAGCACAGUAAGAGCUUGCUCUUACGGGUGGCGAGUGGCGGACGGGUGAGGAAUACAUCGGAAUCUACUUUUUCGUGGGGGAUAACGUAGGGAAACUUACGCUAAUACCGCAUACGACCUACGGGUGAAAGCAGGGGAUCUUCGGACCUUGCGCGAUUGAAUGAGCCGAUGUCGGAUUAGCUAGUUGGCGGGGUAAAGGCCCACCAAGGCGACGAUCCGUAGCUGGUCUGAGAGGAUGAUCAGCCACACUGGAACUGAGACACGGUCCAGACUCCUACGGGAGGCAGCAGUGGGGAAUAUUCGACAAUGGGCGAAAGCCUGAUCCAGCCAUACCGCGUGGGUGAAGAAGGCCUUCGGGUUGUAAAGCCCUUUUGUUGGGAAAGAAAAGCAGCAGGUUAAUACCCAGCUGUUCUGACGGUACCCAACGAAUAAGCACCGGCUAACUUCGUG